Molecule: long non-coding RNA, 391 nt
Organism: Haliotis rubra (blacklip abalone)
Lineage: Eukaryota; Metazoa; Mollusca; Gastropoda; Lepetellida; Haliotidae
Exons: 4
Source: RefSeq, a predicted model, not a curated record
UGGGAAGAUUGAGCCCAUUUUAGAAAAGUUCCCUUGUUUUGAGGAAGGAUGCUUUUUGGUGUAUGAAUUCUUUUGCCAACGCAGUGAUGAUCCAGAGGAAGCGAGGGAAGAAAUUGCCAGAAAUAUGAAAUGGAUAAUGCACACUGUCGUAUCUAAAAAAACUGCACCUGAGGCAUGUAUUAAUGGCUCCAGAAAACUCAAGAUGGUACUGAUGCUGAAAAAAGCAUCCAACUGUUCCGGGAUUUGUAGAAGCUUGUUUCCAAGCAAAGGGCAAGGGUUUGAAGUCAAAGACCUGCAUUACCAUAGUCAAUGAUGUGAAGAGUGUGGAAACAGUUCCUCAAAAACAUCUGCACAGCCAAGUGGAAGAGGCUCCUCAUCUUGUGGUCUUCCU